GAUGAAGAACGCAGCGAAAUGCGAUAAGUAGUGUGAAUUGCAGAAUUCAGUGAAUCAUCGAAUCUUUGAACGCACAUUGCGCCCUUUGGUAUUCCAAAGGGCAUGCCUGUUCGAGCGUCAUUUGUAUCCUCAAGCUUUGCUUGGUGUUGGGCGUCUUGUCUCUAGCUUUGCUGGAGACUCGCCUUAAAGUAAUUGGCAGCCGGCCUACUGGUUUCGGAGCGCAGCACAAGUCGCACUCUCUAUCAGCAAAGGUCUAGCAUCCAUUAAGCCUUUUUUUUCAACUUUUGACCUCGGAUCAGGUAGGGAUACCCGCUGAACUUAAGCAUAUCAAUAGCGGAGGA
Molecule: unclassified non-coding RNA, 341 nt
Filed under: soil metagenome
Description: partial contains 5.8S ribosomal RNA, internal transcribed spacer 2, and large subunit ribosomal RNA
Rfam family: 5.8S ribosomal RNA (bases 1-120)
Source: RNAcentral